GGUUGAUGUACAAUUGAAGAAAAAGACGAAGCACAGAGAGAGAUCUUCUAGCUACACACUGUUGCCGUCGAUCCAGCAAAAAUGUGCGGCAUACUGGCGGUGCUGGGCUGCGCCGAUGACACCCAGGGGAAGAGAGUGCGCGUGCUCGAGCUCUCGCGCAGGCUCAAGCACCGCGGCCCCGACUGGAGCGGCAUGCACCAGGUCGGCGACUGCUACCUCUCCCACCAGCGCCUCGCCAUCAUCGACCCUGCCUCUGGCGACCAGCCCCUCUACAACGAGGACAAGUCCAUCGUCGUCACUGUGAAUGGAGAGAUCUACAACCAUGAACAGCUCCGGGCGCAGCUCUCCUCCCACACGUUCAGGACAGGCAGCGACUGCGAGGUCAUCGCGCACCUGUACGAGGAGCACGGGGAGAACUUCAUCGACAUGCUGGAUGGUGUCUUCUCCUUCGUCUUGCUCGACACACGCGACAACAGCUUCAUUGCUGCCCGUGAUGCCAUUGGCGUCACACCCCUGUAUAUUGGCUGGGGAAUUGAUGGGUCGGUGUGGAUAUCAUCAGAGAUGAAGGGCCUGAAUGAUGAUUGUGAGCACUUUGAGAUCUUUCCUCCUGGCCAUCUCUACUCCAGCAAGCAGGGAGGCUUCAAGAGAUGGUACAACCCACCUUGGUUCUCCGAGGUCAUUCCUUCAGUGCCAUAUGAUCCACUUGCUCUCAGGAAGGCUUUUGAAAAGGCUGUCAUCAAGAGGCUUAUGACGGACGUUCCAUUCGGUGUUCUACUCUCUGGUGGCCUAGACUCAUCAUUGGUUGCAGCCGUUACAGUUCGUCACCUGGCAGGGACAAAGGCUGCAAAGCGCUGGGGGACUAAGCUUCAUUCUUUUUGUGUCGGACUUGAGGGGUCACCUGAUCUGAAGGCCGCAAAGGAGGUAGCCAAUUACCUGGGGACCAUGCACCAUGAGUUCACCUUCACUGUUCAGGUAGACGGCAUUGAUGCAAUUGAGGAUGUGAUUUAUCACACCGAAACAUAUGAUGUGACGACAAUCAGGGCAAGCACGCCAAUGUUCCUGAUGUCACGCAAGAUCAAGUCACUUGGCGUCAAGAUGGUCAUCUCUGGUGAGGGUUCCGAUGAGAUUUUCGGAGGGUACCUCUACUUCCACAAGGCACCCAACAAAGAGGAGCUCCACCGUGAGACAUGUCAAAAGAUCAAAGCUCUGCAUCAGUACGAUUGCUUGAGGGCCAACAAGGCAACAUCUGCAUGGGGACUCGAAGCACGUGUGCCAUUCCUGGACAAGGAGUUUAUCAAUGAGGCAAUGAGCAUAGAUCCUGAGUGGAAGAUGAUCCGACCUGAUCUUGGAAGAAUUGAGAAGUGGGUGCUGAGGAAAGCAUUUGAUGACGAGGAGCAACCAUUCCUGCCAAAGCACAUUCUGUACAGGCAGAAAGAGCAGUUCAGUGAUGGUGUUGGCUAUAGCUGGAUUGAUGGCCUAAAGGCUCACGCAGAAUCAAAUGUGACCGAUAAGAUGAUGUCAAAUGCAAAGUUCAUCUACCCGCACAACACCCCGACUACAAAAGAGGCCUACUGUUACAGGAUGAUAUUUGAGAGGUUCUUCCCCCAGAACUCGGCGAUCCUGACGGUGCCAGGCGGGCCAAGCGUUGCAUGCAGCACGGCAAAGGCGGUAGAGUGGGAUGCUCAGUGGUCGGGGAACCUGGAUCCCUCAGGGAGAGCAGCACUUGGAGUCCAUCUCUCGGCCUAUGAACAGGAGCAUCUCCCAGCAACCAUCUUGACAGGAACCAGCAAGAAGCCGAGGAUGAUCGAGGUUGCAGCGCCUGGUGUCGCAAUUGAGAGUUGAUGGUGUCCUGUCCUGCUUGCCGUUUCUGAUAAGAAAUAAGAUGUACCUGGUCUUGCCAUUAGAGUGGUGCAGACCUAAGGUUUGAGUGAAGAUUGUGCAUUAAUGUAUCUAUUGUUCUUAUGAAAUCGGAGACCGGAUGAUUUCUAAUCCUUUUCUGGCAACUUCCAUCAAAACAUUAUUGCAUGAUGGUUAUUAUUUGACAUAAACGGCUACAU
Molecule: ribosomal RNA, 2057 nt
Filed under: Triticum aestivum (bread wheat)
Lineage: Eukaryota; Viridiplantae; Streptophyta; Magnoliopsida; Poales; Poaceae
Description: partial small subunit ribosomal RNA
Source: RNAcentral